RNAcentral lists this long non-coding RNA (402 nucleotides) under Rattus norvegicus (Norway rat). RNAcentral describes it as "long non-coding RNA NONRATT028546". Lineage: Eukaryota; Metazoa; Chordata; Mammalia; Rodentia; Muridae. The record is from RNAcentral.
GUUUCCAGUAAGUGGCAUGCGGGACUCCGGAGAGCUCCCAGGGAGCUGAGCCGAUCGCCUUUGUGUGCAGAGGGAGGAGGCGGCGGCGCGACCCCACCCGGGAAGCCCCGCGGCAGGAACAAUGCUAGCCUGCUUGACCCGCGGGAACUUACUGGACGUCCUGCAAGAGGGCUUCAAUGAGGUAACUGCCCAGCUCCUCCCACACCCCCAGCUCUUGGUCACCCCGCGCCUCCCGCCUAAUCUCCCGAAGGGAAUCCUGGGGGGCGAGGAGGGGCAUCCUCCGGGGAGCCCAGUUGAGGAGCUGGGGUUGUACAGCCAAGGUGGUAGGCGUGGUGCAGAUGCACGAACCCGAGGACAUCAGAAGGGCGGUGGGCCUCCCCUGAACUGGAGGUUUACCUUCCU